AGGACGAACGCUGGCGGCGUGCUUAACACAUGCAAGUCGAACGGAAAGGCCCUGCUUUUGUGGGGUGCUCGAGUGGCGAACGGGUGAGUAACACGUGAGUAACCUGCCCUUGACUUUGGGAUAACUUCAGGAAACUGGGGCUAAUACCGGAUAGGAGCUCCUGCUGCAGUGGUGGGGUUGGAAAGUUUCGGCGGUUGGGGAUGGACUCGCGGCUUAUCAGCUUGUUGGUGGGGUAGUGGCUUACCAAGGCUUUGACGGUAGCCGGCCUGAGAGGGUGACCGGCCA
Molecule: ribosomal RNA, 285 nt
Filed under: uncultured soil bacterium
Lineage: Bacteria
Description: partial 16S ribosomal RNA
Rfam family: Bacterial small subunit ribosomal RNA
Source: RNAcentral